UCAAUGGCAGAAACAAUGCAAUAGAAUUAGAAUCUAAAUAUUUCCCA
This 47-nucleotide transfer RNA is filed under the name Titanidiops canariensis. RNAcentral describes it as "partial tRNA-Leu". The record is from RNAcentral. Lineage: Eukaryota; Metazoa; Arthropoda; Arachnida; Araneae; Idiopidae.